This 440-nucleotide ribosomal RNA is filed under the name uncultured bacterium. RNAcentral describes it as "partial 16S ribosomal RNA". It matches the Rfam family "Bacterial small subunit ribosomal RNA", at positions 338 to 795 of the family's 1533-position model. The record is from RNAcentral.
CCUACGGGAGGCAGCAGUGGGGAAUAUUGCACAAUGGCGGAAACCCUGAUGCAGCGAAGCCGCGUGAGUGAAGAAGUAUUUCGGUAUGUAAAGCUCUAUCAGCAGGGAAGAAAAUGACGGUACCUGAUCAAGAAGCCUCGGCUAACUACGUUCCAGCAGCCGCGGUAAUACGUAGGGUGCAAGCGUUAUCCGGAUUUCCUGGGUGUAAAGGGAGCGUAGACGGCAGCACAAGUCUGUAGUGAAAUGCCGGGGCUUAACCCCGGAACUGCUUUGGAAACUGUGCAGCUAGAGUGCAGGUGAGGUAAGUGGAAUUCCUAGUGUAGCGGUGAAAUGCGUAGAUAGUAGGAGGAACACCAGUGGCGAAGGCGGCUUACUGGACUGUAACUGACGUUGAGGCUCGAAAGCGUGGGGAGCAAACAGGAUUAGAUACCCCGGUAGUC